Molecule: long non-coding RNA, 882 nt
Organism: Perca flavescens (yellow perch)
Lineage: Eukaryota; Metazoa; Chordata; Actinopteri; Perciformes; Percidae
Exons: 3
Source: RefSeq, a predicted model, not a curated record
CUGUUUUGGAUUGUGGUCUGUUUUUGGAGCGUCAAUGUGAGUGCUUUUGCCUUUGUUUUGGCCAAAAGCACCUGCAGGGAGAUGCCCUAUUUUGACAUCAGCUUCACAGUCGGGUGCAAUCAAGAAGUCAGAGUGGACGAGAGAAAAAAAAAAACAAGGAAAGAUGGGGAAAUGAUGAAGAAAAUACUGUAUAUCCUUCGUCAUGUAACUUAAAGGAGGAUUUGAUCAAUACACCUCAGCCUCCUGUUAGCUUUUGUUGGAGCUGCCUGUGGGAGUCAGAAGCAGAGUGAAAUAAUUCUUUCUAAAACACAAGAAGGACACCGUAUGGAUCUGGCUAGAGUAAAGAGUUUGCACUUGGUUUUAUAUGAAAUCAUUUUGAUCUUUGUCAUUUCUCACAGCCAUCAUUGGCAAAGCUUAGUACUUAAGGUAUUAUUUCUCUCCUCAUUUUUCAGAAUGUAUACCAACUUUUAAGAAUUUCACUUGAAUGCAUCUAAAUGGUGUCUGGAGUUUGGAGAUGGGGAUUUUUGGGGUUGUUACUGGUUGAUCAAACAAGGAUCUAACUCUUUAACAAAAAGGUCUAUCUCUGUGGGGAAGAAUGUUAACACUCUCUGGAUUGCAUUGCAGCCUGGUACGCGGCUGCCGUGCUACAGCGUUCUGGCUCAAUACUGGACCAAUUUCAAAGAUUGUUUUUCACAAUUUUUAGCCAACGCAAUUGUUUAGCCUCUUAGGGGGGCUUUCACACCCACAUUAUUUGGUUCAGUUGAAUCGCAGUGGAGUCGUUUAAGAAAACAAUUGGCAGAAGAGUUAAGUUUAAAGCCCCAGCAGAUUGGAAUAAUUUACCCGUAGAAAUAAGAUCCAUUCCAAUUCUUUGUAUUUUUAAGC